This 29-nucleotide transfer RNA is filed under the name Chelonoidis duncanensis (Duncan Island giant tortoise). Its description in RNAcentral is "partial tRNA-Ala". Lineage: Eukaryota; Metazoa; Chordata; Testudines; Testudinidae. The record is from RNAcentral.
AAGGCCUUAGCUUAAUUAAAGUGUUUGAG